AUCCAGUUAACGAGUCCCAAAUAGGACGAAACGCACAUGCUGGAU
Molecule: non-coding RNA, 45 nt
Filed under: Schistosoma bovis
Lineage: Eukaryota; Metazoa; Platyhelminthes; Trematoda; Strigeidida; Schistosomatidae
Also listed under: 1 other name
Source: RNAcentral